Apus apus (common swift) is the source of this 1421-nucleotide long non-coding RNA. RefSeq lists it as uncharacterized. The transcript has 2 exons. The record is from RefSeq and is a predicted model, not a curated record. NCBI's taxonomy places the organism in Eukaryota, Metazoa, Chordata, Aves, Apodiformes, Apodidae.
UUAGUUCUCUCUAUUCCUUUCCCACCCCCCACCCCUGCCACCGGCGCGGGGACUGGAGGGGAAAGACCCAAAGGCGACCCGGAACGACAGCGAAAGCUGCAGAGCCGCCCGCGGUGCCAAACCACAUCUCGGGAAAGGGUCCCCGCGGUGGGAAGCGGUCGGGGGGCUGCCGGGCCGGGCAGAGUUGCCGGGCCGGGGCCGGCGGGUGUAUCUUCCCCCGGAGCCGGGAUCCCAUCUGCAUGUCAAUGACCUGUGGAAGCAUCUCCCCAGUGCGGGCGCGGCUCAGUGGCCAUUGAAGCGGAGUCAGACCUACCCCCGGGGUGUUAGAUUUAGGGUUUGCGCCUGCAGAGACAGCGGGAUCCUCGGGAAGGUGCCUUCAAAAAAAAAAAAAACAAACCACAAAACAAACAACAAGCAACAAGAAAAAGCCAAAGGGAAAAGAGAAAGGGAGGAAAGGGGAAGGAGAAAAAGGAUAUUGGGGGGUGGGGGGAUGUUUCGAGGCGCUCCGUACCCUCCGCCGCUGAUAACGAGCUGGAUGUGGAAAUGGAGAUGGAUUUUAUUUUUAUUUCUUUUCUUUCUUUUUUUUUUUUUUUUUUAAUUAAAACUUUAGUGGGUCCUGGGGAUCGCGCUCGCUUCGCUUUGCUUUGUAGAAUGGAAAGAGAUACACGGAGAAAUGCAGGCCUUGUCAGGAUUUAUUGAAGUUGGGUUUAAAAAACGUGCUUCAGAUGAUUUUUCCCAUUUUCUCAGAUUUCAAAGGCUCCCCGCAGUGCGGCUGCCUAAUUAAUGGUGAAAUUCAACUAAAUCUAAUUAUGCAGUAAUUUUAAAGCAGUUAGUCCUGGGCGCUGCUUUGUAAUAGGAACCUAGUUUUUAAAGUUUGCUUAAUGUGUUGGUUUAGGGAGCUGGGGAGGAGAGGGGUGUAAGAGACAGAGCUGGAGGGCUGGGUUUUUUCCCUCUUCCCCCCCUCCUUUUUUUCCCCUUUCGCAAAGAAAUGCAAAAUUUAAACCCAAAACACCCAGCGAAAGGCAAGGAGAGAGGCUGUGUUAUCCAUCGCCUGUGAUACGGGUAUUGAGUGAGAAACACCAGCGAAAGUGUAAAUAACACAGUAGUUAAUAGGGACCAUAAAGGUAUUCCUGGCCUGUGGAUUUCCAAGUGCCAAGCUGUUUUGGAGAGGAUCUUGAAUCCUGCGGUAAUAAAGGGGCAACGGAGACACACAGCGUCUCUUCUUGGGAAAUAGAAACCAGAUUUCUGCUAUUGAACAUCUAUUGUCAUUAAGAGGAGAGGCUUGUGCUCGCGAAGUUAUAAAUCUUAUCACCCUUUUGAUAACACAGUUGUAAUCAGUUAGCAUCGCAUUCAAACCCAAUUGUAAAACUGCCUAAUUUAAUAUGUCAUACAUGUCAUUAAAACUUUAUUUUUCCCCCUUC